UUAAGCGACUAAGCGUACACGGUGGAUGCCCUGGCAGUCAGAGGCGAUGAAGGACGUGCUAAUCUGCGAUAAGCGUCGGUAAGGUGAUAUGAACCGUUAUAACCGGCGAUUUCCGAAUGGGGAAACCCAGUGUGAUUUGUCACACUAUUAUUAACUGAAUCCAUAGGUUAAUGAGGCGAACCGGGGGAACUGAAACAUCUAAGUACCCCGAGGAAAAGAAAUCAACCGAGAUUCCCCCAGUAGCGGCGAGCGAACGGGGAGCAGCCCAGAGCCUGAAUCAGUGUGUGUGUUAGUGGAAGCGUCUGGAAAGGCGCGCGAUACAGGGUGACAGCCCCGUACACAAAAAUGCACAUACUGUGAGCUCGAUGAGUAGGGCGGGACACGUGGUAUCCUGUCUGAAUAUGGGGGGACCAUCCUCCAAGGCUAAAUACUCCUGACUGACCGAUAGUGAACCAGUACCGUGAGGGAAAGGCGAAAAGAACCCCGGCGAGGGGAGUGAAAAAGAACCUGAAACCGUGUACGUACAAGCAGUGGGAGCCUCUUUUAUGGGGUGACUGCGUACCUUUUGUAUAAUGGGUCAGCGACUUAUAUUCUGUAGCAAGGUUAACCGAAUAGGGGAGCCGAAGGGAAACCGAGUCUUAACUGGGCGUUAAGUUGCAGGGUAUAGACCCGAAACCCGGUGAUCUAGCCAUGGGCAGGUUGAAGGUUGGGUAACACUAACUGGAGGACCGAACCGACUAAUGUUGAAAAAUUAGCGGAUGACUUGUGGCUGGGGGUGAAAGGCCAAUCAAACCGGGAGAUAGCUGGUUCUCCCCGAAAGCUAUUUAGGUAGCGCCUCGUGAAUUCAUCUCCGGGGGUAGAGCACUGUUUCGGCAAGGGGGUCAUCCCGACUUACCAACCCGAUGCAAACUGCGAAUACCGGAGAAUGUUAUCACGGGAGACACACGGCGGGUGCUAACGUCCGUCGUGAAGAGGGAAACAACCCAGACCGCCAGCUAAGGUCCCAAAGUCAUGGUUAAGUGGGAAACGAUGUGGGAAGGCCCAGACAGCCAGGAUGUUGGCUUAGAAGCAGCCAUCAUUUAAAGAAAGCGUAAUAGCUCACUGGUCGAGUCGGCCUGCGCGGAAGAUGUAACGGGGCUAAACCAUGCACCGAAGCUGCGGCAGCGACGCUUAUGCGUUGUUGGGUAGGGGAGCGUUCUGUAAGCCUGCGAAGGUGUGCUGUGAGGCAUGCUGGAGGUAUCAGAAGUGCGAAUGCUGACAUAAGUAACGAUAAAGCGGGUGAAAAGCCCGCUCGCCGGAAGACCAAGGGUUCCUGUCCAACGUUAAUCGGGGCAGGGUGAGUCGACCCCUAAGGCGAGGCCGAAAGGCGUAGUCGAUGGGAAACAGGUUAAUAUUCCUGUACUUGGUGUUACUGCGAAGGGGGGACGGAGAAGGCUAUGUUG
This 1442-nucleotide ribosomal RNA is filed under the name Escherichia coli 2-011-08_S1_C2. Its description in RNAcentral is "bacterial LSU rRNA". It matches the Rfam family "Bacterial large subunit ribosomal RNA", at positions 1 to 1489 of the family's 2925-position model. Lineage: Bacteria; Pseudomonadati; Pseudomonadota; Gammaproteobacteria; Enterobacterales; Enterobacteriaceae. The record is from RNAcentral.